This 1166-nucleotide long non-coding RNA is filed under the name Brassica rapa (field mustard). RNAcentral's name for it is "long non-coding RNA (BRAP_LNC006855)". The record is from RNAcentral. Lineage: Eukaryota; Viridiplantae; Streptophyta; Magnoliopsida; Brassicales; Brassicaceae.
GAUGAGACCAUGUCACUAUCAAUCGACAGCACUUCAUCAACAUCGAUCGAUUGUCUAUUCAUUGUGUCGAUCGACACUGAUGGCGAGCAGGUUAUCGUUCUUACUUGUUAAAUUGUCUACUUAUUAUUUAUGUUCUAACCAUAACUCCGACUAGAUAUACACUGGGGACAGUGUAAUUUAAGUCUGGGGGGAUGUUUACUGAUAUUUGCUUAUCUAUUGAGUUUUAUAAAAUGUUUUCAAAACUGUUUUUAUUGACUCAAGAAGGGGAUAAUGAACUUAUUAGAUUCAUGCUUGUUAUCUAACCACUCUUUAGCACCAUUCUAGACUUACUGAUUACAGAUAGUACUAAAGAUACUAAAGUGGAUCAACAUGUCAACUAUGUUCACACUUGCUGAGAAUGUUUGAAGGAACCGAAGCUGACCUCCAACCUAAUUUGACUUAACUGCUUGUCUUGGGGCUUGGUAUACACUGGAUCGGAUUCUUCCUUCAGGUCUGAAAGGUUAAAUUCUGAGUGAUUUUGGUUUCCUUAUCUCCUCCCUUUGGCAUCCUAAUAAAAUAAAAUAAAAGAUUGAGAUGAUUUCUUGCGGUUUAGAGGGGUAGGUACAUUACCGAUGACCCCAUUAUUCUACUCUAAUAGAAUGAUCACACAUUGUUGGAAGCGAGGGGUAGGUACAUUACCGAUAACCCCACUAUUCGCCUACACUUUGUCAAGAAAAGAAAAAGAAAAAGAAAAAAAAAUAAUUAAAAAAAAAUCAAAAAGAAGGUGAAUAAGAUGGACUGCAUCAGCAUCUUUGUUCAUUGGAAUUGAGAUAAAAAGGACUCAGAGAAGGGAUAUAUAAAGUAAAAGAAACCAUAACAAGACUACCUGUUUACUCAGAUACCUGUUGCGGUAAGAGUCCAUGUGUCUUGUGAUCGAUACUCCCAAGGUAAAGCAUACACAUUUAUUUAUGUUAAGAAAUGAGGUUGGUCGAGGGGAAUGUCAGACAUGAUUUGCUAAGAUGUUGGCUAGGUGAAUUUGGUUGCUAAGCUAGGAUAUUAUAUAAUGUGCUUCUGUGAUUAGGACUUCUUAGAUGUGGAUUGCAAUAUUGUAGAGGUGAUGAUUCUAUGUUUUAAAUCAUGUGAGUCCCUGCUGUUUUCAAAACCUCUUUCAGAGAGACUGCCCGUCU